RNAcentral lists this ribosomal RNA (442 nucleotides) under uncultured bacterium. Its description in RNAcentral is "partial 16S ribosomal RNA". It matches the Rfam family "Bacterial small subunit ribosomal RNA", at positions 338 to 795 of the family's 1533-position model. The record is from RNAcentral.
CCUACGGGAGGCUGCAGUGGGGAAUAUUGGGCAAUGGGCGCAAGCCUGACCCAGCAACGCCGCGUGAAGGAAGAAGGCUUUCGUGUUGUAAACUUCUUUUCUGGGGGACGAACUAAUGACGGUACCCCCGGAAUAAGCCACGGCUAACUACGUGCCAGCAGCCGCGGUAAUACGUAGGUGGCAGGCGUUAUCCGGAUUUAUUGGGUGUAAAGGGCGUGUAGGCGGGAAUGCAAGUCAGAUGUGAAAACUAUGGGCUCAACCCAUAGCCUGCAUUUGAAACUGUAUUUCUUGAGUGCUGGAGAUGCAAUCGGAAUUCCGUGUGUAGCGGUGAAAUGCGUAGAUAUACGGAGGAACACCAGUGGCGAAGGCGGAUUGCUGGACAGUAACUGACGCUGAGGCGCGAAAGCGUGGGGAGCAAACAGGAUUAGAUACCCCUGUAGUC